GCUGCAAUGGCGAGCAAAGAGGCUGAGAAGCACUCUCAGCAGGCAAGCUGAGAAGCACUCUCAGCAAGCAGAGUGGCCCACAAGCAGCCCAAAAAUUGCCUUCCAUCAUCGACUCCUUGUGAAGAACGAAGAGACGAUGGGAAGAAUUUUGAAGGUAAAAACUCCGCUGCUGGCCAGAAAAUAUUUCCUAUACCUCCCAUACCAAAGGUGACAUAAAGGCAAAUAG
This 226-nucleotide long non-coding RNA is filed under the name Olea europaea (common olive). Its description in RNAcentral is "long non-coding RNA (OEUR_LNC005635)". Lineage: Eukaryota; Viridiplantae; Streptophyta; Magnoliopsida; Lamiales; Oleaceae. The record is from RNAcentral.